Long non-coding RNA from Clupea harengus (Atlantic herring), 1364 nucleotides. NCBI's taxonomy places the organism in Eukaryota, Metazoa, Chordata, Actinopteri, Clupeiformes, Clupeidae. The record is from Ensembl.
UUUGCAUUGUGUUGUUGCUGGGGACAUAUGUUCCAGUUUGUCUUUACUGUAGUGCCGUCCUCAUAGCUCAUAGUUGCGUGCAGACGCAUAGCAUAGCAUAGCACAGCAUAGCAUAGCAUAGCACAGCAUAGCAUAGCAUAGCACAGCAUAGCACAUUCUCACUGCAGCUCUUUGUGCUGUUGCAGGAACCCUCUUCUCACAGCCAUGUGGCGUAAACACAUGCUGGGGCCACCAUACUGGUGUCUGACAACCCCCCACCCCCACCCCCACCCCCCGAAGCUCAGCAAACCCUCAUGGUUUCCACUCUUCCCACCAAUCCUGUCUGAGCAGGAGGAUGGGAGAGGAGCCCGCCACGUGCCCACCACCACUGUCUUCUUCAACCCCUGGUCCACUCAUUUCAUUUCACAGAACAAACUGGUGAAGUGCAGUGCCUUUUGCCAGAGACAUUUUAACUUAAAUGCUUGUCAGACCGUUUUCAAACUUUUCUUUUCUUGUCUGUGCCAUCUCCCACGUGAACAAAGCCUGGAUGUUGAGGAGGCUGAGGGUCCUUACGGAUUGGGAGUGAAGGAUUCUGGGUCCGCUUUGUGCCUGUACGAUAUGCUCUGCUAUGCUCUGCCCUGUACCCUCCACACACAGUCACAGCUCCCAAUGUCUUCACUGCAGAAAGACUCUGAAAAAAAAAAAAGAACUGCAGCACUCCCCUGAGUAUGUGUCAAAACAAAAUGUGACUGAAACUUUGCAUCUUGAUGGGCUUUAGGAAGGUAUGUCAUAUUCACAGUAAUGAACAGUACAGCGUGCAAUAUUCACAGUAAUGUACAGUACAGCGUCCAAUAACAUGUGAUCCUAGUUUUGUGUUUGAUCAUCGCAUGGCUGGCAGAUGUGGCCAAGGCCUUGAAAAGGUGCUCUGGUGUCAUCUGUGUUUUCUGCACGCGUUCAUGUCCUAGUGAAGGACCUCGCAUGUACUCACACAGAGGUCUGUUCACAGUGAAGGGCUAACCUAACUGGACACCCAACAAUAUGCUCUUAACGUAUGAAGUGAUGUAUUUGUAUGCAUGAACAUGUAAUCUGUAGUUAGUUUGUUUUUAUGUGUGAGCGGACAUUGUGUGCUCUGUGCUCUGACCGAGAUGAUGACACCACGCAGAGAGGAGCUCGCUUUAGAACACGUCCGGCACCAUUCUGUGCCGGGCCACACUGGGCCCACAUCCGGUCCUCGUCUGGCCCAGAACCGGCUGCUCUCCCGGUAGCCACAGCUGCUAAUGAGGGCUCAUGCACUGUGUGCAGGAAAAACAAGCACUGGUGACGCAUUACAACGUUUCGAAAUGAAACCAAUUUUGUCUUUUUAUUUGCCACAAUAAAUAUACUGU